Molecule: ribosomal RNA, 467 nt
Filed under: uncultured bacterium
Lineage: Bacteria
Description: partial 16S ribosomal RNA
Rfam family: Bacterial small subunit ribosomal RNA
Source: RNAcentral
GACGAACGCUGGCGGCGUGCUUAACACAUGCAAGUCGAACGGAGAGGCCCUGCUUUUGUGGGGUGCUCGAGUGGCGAACGGGUGAGUAACACGUGAGUAACCUGCCCUUGACUUUGGGAUAACUUCAGGAAACUGGGGCUAAUACCGGAUAGGAGCUCCUGCUGCAUGGUGGGGGUUGGAAAGUUUCGGCGGUUGGGGAUGGACUCGCGGCUUAUCAGCUUGUUGGGGGGGUAGUGGCUUACCAAGGCUUUGACGGGUAGCCGGCCUGGGAGGGUGACCGGCCACAUUGGGACUGAGAUGCGGCCCAGACUCAUACGGGAGGCAGGAGUGGAGAAUAUUGGACAAUGGGCGGAAGCAUGAUGGAGCAACGCCGCGUGCGGGAAGACGGCCUUCGGGGUGUAACCCGCUUUCGCCUGUGAAGGAGCGUGAGUAAGGGUAAUGGGUAAAGAGGCACGGGCUAAUUACGU